This 694-nucleotide ribosomal RNA is filed under the name uncultured bacterium. Its description in RNAcentral is "bacterial SSU rRNA". It matches the Rfam family "Bacterial small subunit ribosomal RNA", at positions 8 to 698 of the family's 1533-position model. The record is from RNAcentral.
AGAGUUUGAUCUGGCUCAGGAUGAACGCUAGCGGCAGGCUUAACACAUGCAAGUCGAGGGGCAGCGCAGGUAGCAAUACUGGGCGGCGACCGGCAAACGGGUGCGGAACACGUACAGAACCUACCUUUACCUGGGGCAUAGCCCGGAGAAAUCCGGAUUAACUCCCCAUAAUAUAACAUGAUGGCAUCAUUGAGUUAUUAAAAAUUUAUUGGGUAAAGAUGGCUGUGCGUCCCAUUAGCUAGUUGGUAGGGUAACGGCCUACCAAGGCGACGAUGGGUAGCUGGUGUGAGAGCACGACCAGCCACACGGGCACUGAGACACGGGCCCGACUCCUACGGGAGGCAGCAGUGAGGAAUAUUGGUCAAUGGACGCAAGUCUGAACCAGCCAUGCCGCGUGAAGGAUGAAGGCCUUCUGGGUUGUAAACUUCUUUUACCUGGGAAGAAACCACCUUUUUCUAAGGGUGUUGACGGUACCAGAGGAAUAAGCACCGGCUAACUCCGUGCCAGCAGCCGCGGUAAUACGGAGGGUGCAAGCGUUAUCCGGAUUUACUGGGUUUAAAGGGUGUGUAGGCGGGCUUUUAAGUCAGUGGUGAAAUCUCCGGGCUCAACCCGGAAACUGCCAUUGAUACUAUUAGUCUUGAAUUUUGUUGAGGUAGGCGGAAUAAGUCAUGUAGCGGUGAAAUGCAUAGAUAUG